Small nucleolar RNA from Erigeron canadensis, 79 nucleotides. RefSeq annotates it as small nucleolar RNA SNORD34. Lineage: Eukaryota; Viridiplantae; Streptophyta; Magnoliopsida; Asterales; Asteraceae. The record is from RefSeq and is a predicted model, not a curated record. The transcript has a single exon.
AAUGGCCUAUGAUGAAUAAAAGUUUUGCCUACAUUGUCUGAUUCUUAUGAAGAGUAUAAUGAAGAUUUCUGAGGCCUUU